CUUGAGGUACAUCCUCAUGGGUGUUUUUCUAUAGACCUACAUCAUCGGAAAUGCCUCAAAGAGUAAAUACGUGGUUUGCUUUCCUCGCAGAAUUAUGUUUAAAUCUGUGAGAACUAUAAGACAGGG
RNAcentral lists this small nucleolar RNA (126 nucleotides) under Zalophus californianus (California sea lion). Lineage: Eukaryota; Metazoa; Chordata; Mammalia; Carnivora; Otariidae. The record is from RNAcentral.